This is a long non-coding RNA of Coregonus clupeaformis (lake whitefish), 1104 nucleotides long. RefSeq lists it as uncharacterized. Lineage: Eukaryota; Metazoa; Chordata; Actinopteri; Salmoniformes; Salmonidae. The transcript has 3 exons. The record is from RefSeq and is a predicted model, not a curated record.
UUUUCAUUGUUUUUCACCAUGUUAACUGUGAAUGACAAUGAAAAACCUUUGAUGGUCACCAUGUUAAAAGUUUUUUUAUCAUGUUAACUAAAAUGGCAAAGGAAAAGUGCAGAUGCUUGGGAGUACUACAAGGCUGCUUUGGACAAUUGCCAACGUGCGGUGAGCUUUCCCGUGACCCGUUGAAAAUGUUAACUGAGAUGGCAGAGGACAAGUGCAGACAUACUCCACAGACCACAUCCUGUCGUUUCCAAUGGGAGGCAAGUGAGCCGAGGUCACUGUCUGAAGCAGUGGGAAGAUGCAACUGGCCAUGACCGGGGGAUGAUUCUCUGAGUUGGCACGCAACAUCAUGUUCGAUGCCAUUCCAAUGCUCCGUUCCAGCCAUUAUUAUGAGCCGUCGUCCCCUCAGCAGCCUCCACUGGUCAAAUAGUGUGUCUAUUGGUCAGAAUGGGAGUCCAAAUAGUCUUGCAUUACAGGAGUAAUAUAAUCUUGGUUUCUGUAAAGUGUGUCAGUGAGUGGAUCCUAGUCUAGUUUGAGGUGGAAGAAGCAUGGCAUAUUUUAAUGUAUUUGUUUUAAAUCAACUUACUUACAUUUCCAUGUGUCAAUCCAUCGUAUUGCUUCCCGAAGGAAAUCCAGCUUGAAGCUGUUCUCUUGUCUGAGAGCCCUCCUCCAUGGAUUUCUAUCCCAGCAAGAUCUAGAAGGAAAAAGCUUGUUGGUUUGAUAGUGAUUUCUAUGUGCAAGGUUUUCAACUGUGUAAUACACCCUGUACUGAUUGCAUUUACAUUUGAUUUACGAUACCUUGAGUUCAGAACGUCAAACAAAUUGUUCAUUUUUUCCAGGAAAUGGUCUGUGCAUUCCACCUCCUUAGGUAGUUUGCCUAGCUGCAUCAUAGUUUGCAUCCCUUGAGGAAGUAAAGCGUUCGUUAGUACUACUACAUUAUGUUUUACGAUGUUCCAUCUUUUCAUGCCAACAUUUAUUAAUAUUUGUAUAGUUAUGUGGUAGUACAGUAUUUUCAACCAAUAACAGGUUAGUGUAGUGUCUUGAAUGUAUAAAGUGUAUGAAUUUGUAAAUUGUCACUAUUUGCAUAUACACUGCUCAAAAAAAUAA